AUCCAGUUGACGAGUCUCAAAUAAGACGAAACGCGCGUCGAACUAGAU
Molecule: non-coding RNA, 48 nt
Filed under: Schistosoma haematobium
Lineage: Eukaryota; Metazoa; Platyhelminthes; Trematoda; Strigeidida; Schistosomatidae
Source: RNAcentral